RNAcentral lists this ribosomal RNA (460 nucleotides) under uncultured bacterium. RNAcentral describes it as "partial 16S ribosomal RNA". It matches the Rfam family "Bacterial small subunit ribosomal RNA", at positions 338 to 795 of the family's 1533-position model. The record is from RNAcentral.
CCUACGGGUGGCAGCAGUGAGGAAUAUUGGUCAAUGGACGAGAGUCUGAACCAGCCAAGUAGCGUGAAGGAUGACUGCCCUAUGGGUUGUAAACUUCUUUUAUAUGGGAAUAAAAUGUUCCACGUGUGGGAUUUUGUAUGUACCAUAUGAAUAAGGAUCGGCUAACUCCGUGCCAGCAGCCGCGGUAAUACGGAGGAUCCGAGCGUUAUCCGGAUUUAUUGGGUUUAAAGGGAGCGUAGGUGGAUGGUUAAGUCAGUUGUGAAAGUUUGCGGCUCAACCGUAAAAUUGCAGUUGAAACUGGCAGUCUUGAGUACAGUAGAGGUGGGCGGAAUUCGUGGUGUAGCGGUGAAAUGCUUAGAUAUCACGAAGAACUCUGAUUGCGAAGGCAGUUCACUGGACUGCAACUGACACUGAGGCUCGAAAGUGUGGGUAUCAAACAGGAUUAGAUACCCGAGUAGUC